RNAcentral lists this ribosomal RNA (433 nucleotides) under uncultured bacterium. RNAcentral describes it as "partial 16S ribosomal RNA". It matches the Rfam family "Bacterial small subunit ribosomal RNA", at positions 29 to 507 of the family's 1533-position model. The record is from RNAcentral.
AGCGAACGCUGGCGGCAGGCCUAACACAUGCAAGUCGAACGAACUCUUCGGAGUUAGUGGCGGACGGGUGAGUAACACGUGGGAACGUUCCUUUAGGUUCGGAAUAACUCAGGGAAACUUGAGCUAAUACCGGAUGUGCCCUUCGGGGGAAAGAUUUAUCGCCUUUAGAGCGGCCCGCGUCUGAUUAGCUAGUUGGUGAGGUAAAGGCUCACCAAGGCGACGAUCAGUAGCUGGUCUGAGAGGAUGAUCAGCCACAUUGGGACUGAGACACGGCCCAAACUCCUACGGGAGGCAGCAGUGGGGAAUCUUGCGAAAUGGGCGAAAGCCUGACGCAGCCAUGCCGCGUGAAUGAUGAAGGUCUUAGGAUUGUAAAAUUCUUUCACCGGGGACGAUAAUGACGGUACCCGGAGAAGAAGCCCCGGCUAACUUCGUG